This 350-nucleotide RNase P RNA is filed under the name Acetanaerobacterium elongatum. RNAcentral's name for it is "Bacterial RNase P class A". It matches the Rfam family "Bacterial RNase P class A". From Rfam's summary of the family: Ribonuclease P (RNase P) is a ubiquitous endoribonuclease, found in archaea, bacteria and eukarya as well as chloroplasts and mitochondria. Its best characterised activity is the generation of mature 5'-ends of tRNAs by cleaving the 5'-leader elements of precursor-tRNAs. Cellular RNase Ps are ribonucleoproteins. The record is from Rfam by way of RNAcentral. Lineage: Bacteria; Bacillati; Bacillota; Clostridia; Eubacteriales; Oscillospiraceae.
CGAGUAGACCAGACUGCGGCGCGGGCGAUGCUUUUGCACCUGCCUGUGAGGAAAGUCCGAGCUCCACAGGGCAAGAAUAGCGGCUAACGGCCGCCGGAGGCGACUCUAGGGAAAGUGCAACAGAGAUAUACCGCCCAGCAUUCGUGCUGAGUAAGGGUGGAAAGGCGAGGUAAGAGCUCACCGGCGCGCAGGAGACUGCGCGGCCCUGCAAACCCUAUUCGGAGCAACACCAAAAUGGGAGCUAAGCCUGCCCGGCAUUCCCGACUAGGUGGCUGGAGCCCUUGCGGCAACGCAGGGCCAAGACAGAUCGUAGUUUAAUACAGAACUCGGCUUACAGGUUUAGUCGCGCC